RNAcentral lists this unclassified non-coding RNA (1894 nucleotides) under Hevea brasiliensis (rubber tree). Lineage: Eukaryota; Viridiplantae; Streptophyta; Magnoliopsida; Malpighiales; Euphorbiaceae. The record is from RNAcentral.
GGCCAGCACCAAGAUAUAUAUAUUGAAAUCACUGUGGGUAUGAGCUUGAGUUCCAGUUGGAAAAAAAAAAAAAUGCCAAAACAGUAUUGAAUUAAAAUAUAACCUUUAAAAUUGAACAUAGUCACAAAUAUAAAUACAGAAAUGGCGCAUUGUUGACCAUGAAUCUAGUGCGUGGCUGUCGUCGAAACAUAAAGGUAUUCACCACCUCAUACUGGUUUCACUGUGCCACCCCAGAACGUCAUGAAAGUUAACCUUUAUGCGGCUGUCAACAAAGCAAAAGGGUUGGGGCUUUAGCAGCAAUAGCCAGGAAUAGUAGCCGCAGCACGAGGGGAUGGAUUUGUGAGAGGGCGGAAGCAAUUACCGAUCCCUUGGUUUUGGAAGGUCUAGCUUGUCAAGAAGCCUUGCUUCCAGCUAAGGAGAGGAACCUCAGGCGGGCAAUCUUUGAAGGUGAUUCGCAGGUGCUCAUUCAGGCCAUAAAAGGCUAUGAAACUCCUUCCCAAAUUCAAGAAUUAGUCUUAGACAUUCUUCAUUUGGCACAAUCUUUUGAUAAUUUUUCAUUCAAUUUGUUAGAAGAGGCUGUAACCAAGCUGCUUAUAGCAUUGCAGCAAUUGCUUUAAGGGAUACUUCUUUCUUGUUUAAUCGCUUGUAGCAAUUCCGGUUUGUAUUCCCCUUAUGCCCGCCUAGGGCCUCCAUGAAAUAAAUAAAUAAAUAAAUUUCACCACCACAAACAACAUUGACAGCACCUUUCUUCUCUUCUUCAGCCUCCUUUUCUCGCUCUUUCUAGCUCUCAUAUGCAUGAUCAUCGGUUUGCGGCUCACGCUGACAAAUUAGACAAGAGUUGUGCUCAUCCUCAGGUAUAGUGGUAUCAAGGUUGCUUAUGAGCUCUUCAAGUAUAUUGGCUGCAUUUUCCACUGGAGCUCCAGAAGAUUCAGCUCCCAAAAGAGAGGCCAUAGAACUCAUUAGGUUUGAUUGCACCAACCAUUGAGGUUGCGGUGGCUCAGGAUCCACAGUAAGAUGCCCCUCAAAAAGAUACCGUAAAAUGAAUCAAACACGACCCCACAAAAAAUCAGAAAUGAUAGUAAAAUUCACAAGCUUUCAAGAAAAAAAAAAUUAUGGUUUUCACAGAAGUCAACCUCCACGCGACGAACAAGGAAAAAUAUGGGGUGGAUUUUCCGUCAAAUGCAAAUGUUCUUUAACUUGAGCAACGCAAUUCUUCAAACGCUCCUUCUCAAAAGCAUCAGAAACCAAGCUUUUAGCUUGCUCAAACAACCCAAACCCAGCGAGCACCAGGCGCUGUAAUAUCCCGCUUUUAGAAUGGUCGCUACUCACUAAACAACGGAAUAGAACUGCGGCCACCACAAGAAGUUCAAAAUCCUCAUUGCAUAAGACACAAUCAUACACAAACAAAAUCAAUCGAUCCCAAUUAUAAAAAAAAAGACAAGAGGCAUAGUAAUUUGGGAAGAGAAGGAGAAGCAGAGGGGUAGAAAUCGCAGAAAAGGGAUUUGAUAGAAGACACAACAUCCUCAAAAUGUUUUUCUUUCCUAGCUGUUGCUGCAAUUCUUCCAAUUGUUGUUUCAAUCCAUCCUCCGAAGCCAUUUUUGUUGUUUCAUCAAUUCAGAAUCUAGAAUUCGCAAAUUCAGAAUCUUUUCCAUUACCCCCCAAGCAUCAGGUAUCUCAUUUGAAUCUCCAUUGUUGAUUUCUUUUUCUUGGCGAUGGGGAAACCUGUAGCGUUCGUUAAACCUGUAGCGUCUCAUCCAUAUGAUUUCUCGCCCAAUUGACCGUCGGCUGUAGAAUUUCCCAUUAAUGCACGACAGGUAGUACACCAAACACAUGCAAAUCGCCAACGCCAAGUCGUUUCCAACAACUAAUAGGGAAAUACUUUGCUACAGCCCAC